UUAAUCAGAAUCUCAUAUUUUCUUCUCGGCUAGUCCCCAUUUCUGUACACUAGAUUUUUCUAUUCUUCUUUGUUGUCCUACUUCCAUAGAGAAAAAUGGCAUUCAUUUCCGUAGUUGCAGUUCCAUGGUGCAAGAAGCAUAUUGAAAAUGGUCAUGGUGAUGUUUGGUAUGGCUAUCCUUUUGUUGUUUGCGAUGAAGGAGACGAUGACGACGACGACGGUGGUUAUGAUUAUGCUCCAGCAGCGUAAACCCUUUAUCUGUCUAAAUUAGCUAGUAUUAAUGACCAAUUCAUGUUAAUCUUGUUCUCUUUUGGUGUAAGGAUUAGUACUAACUGGAUGAGAACUGAAUAAAGGUUAUACAUGUAUAAAGUGUAGUAGUAUAUUGUAUGAUGAUAAAGUUCAGCAGCAGAAAAGUAAAUAUGUUGAGAGACUUUUAUUACUUAGGAUAAGUAACAAUUUCAAUUUAGAGUUGUGAUUACACCCUUGUCCUAUUAAUCUUUAAAUUGAAAUUAUUGUCUUUUAAUAAGAAUUUGGAUUAACAUUA
This 543-nucleotide long non-coding RNA is filed under the name Lathyrus oleraceus (garden pea). RNAcentral describes it as "Pisum sativum (pea) long non-coding RNA (PSAT_LNC000538)". Lineage: Eukaryota; Viridiplantae; Streptophyta; Magnoliopsida; Fabales; Fabaceae. The record is from RNAcentral.